UACGGAGGGGGCGAGCGUUAUUCGGAAUUAUUGGGCGUACAGGGCGCGUAGGCGGCUUGACAAGUCAAAGGUGAAAUCCCUCGGCUCAACUGAGGAACUGCCUUUGAAACUGUCAGGCUUGAGGCCGGGAGGGGGUAGCGGAAUUCCCAAUGUAGCGGUGAAAUGCGUAGAUAUCGGGAGGAACACCAGUGGCGAAGGCGGCUACCUGGACCGGUACUGACGCUGAGGCGCGAAAGCGUGGGGAGCAAACAGG
RNAcentral lists this ribosomal RNA (253 nucleotides) under uncultured bacterium. RNAcentral's name for it is "partial 16S ribosomal RNA". It matches the Rfam family "Bacterial small subunit ribosomal RNA", at positions 524 to 776 of the family's 1533-position model. The record is from RNAcentral.